UUCGGCGAUCGCUUCGAAGCCGCUUAAACCCGAGUCGAGAGAACCAAGCAAAUCGCGCCAGAAUACCUUGGCAGCCAUGAGGCCGCUAUUGCUAGUUGCGCUGCUGGCCGUCGUGACCGUCGCUGUGGUUGAUGCCUCUCGCCCCUGUGGUGACGUCAGUGGCAUUUGCAAGAAAAAGGACAGUCCAAGAGGGAAGAAGUGCAAGCAAAUUGAGGAAGGACUAUGCGAGAAGGGCAUGGUCUGCUGUCCUG
Molecule: long non-coding RNA, 251 nt
Organism: Penaeus monodon (black tiger shrimp)
Lineage: Eukaryota; Metazoa; Arthropoda; Malacostraca; Decapoda; Penaeidae
Exons: 2
Source: RefSeq, a predicted model, not a curated record